Long non-coding RNA from Anolis carolinensis (green anole), 653 nucleotides. RefSeq lists it as uncharacterized. Lineage: Eukaryota; Metazoa; Chordata; Lepidosauria; Squamata; Anolidae. The transcript is spliced from 2 exons. The record is from RefSeq and is a predicted model, not a curated record.
UGGCAGACGUGGACGUAAGAUACUCUCGAGGAGCGAGAAAGAAAGAGGCUGCGAGAUAUCUUUGCAGAACCAUCUGACGAAGAGUCUUUUAAGGGGUUCACGGAGAGAAUGGAGGAAGAGCUGGUUAGCUCGGAAGAGGAUGAGAUGGAUUGGACUCGGCUUUGACCUUCCGUCGUCUUCUUGACGGACGCCAUCUGCUACUCUGGAUUUACGGACUGAAAACUGACUACGGGCUCGCUUUCUCCUAUUGAACUUGGAAAACUGCAAACGUCUGAUUCUGCCUCUCGACCUACGGAACGAACUGGGACUACGCUACUGCUUCAAUCCUUGGCUGCUGAGUUUGUAUUGGAAAUUUGCCUUGCUGUGUGAAGGAGUGACUCCUAGUUACUCAAAACAUAGUGCUGGCAGCAGAGAGGCAUCUGCUGCCAAUUAGUUGCAUUCUUUUGAACUCUUUGUUUCCCAGCUUCUGUUUGUUUAUCCCCAGGCUGAAGCAAGCUGUUUUGAUUUUACCCGGAUUAAACUCCGGUUUAAUCCGGUUUAUCUUUUGAACGUUUUUCUUGCCCCUUUUUGUUUUUAAAGGCUAAAGUUGCCUUGCCCUUGUCUUUUACGGGCAUUUUGAGUUCUGUAAAUCCAAUAAACUCUGUUAUCUUUGA